This 497-nucleotide ribosomal RNA is filed under the name uncultured bacterium. Its description in RNAcentral is "partial 16S ribosomal RNA". It matches the Rfam family "Bacterial small subunit ribosomal RNA", at positions 28 to 507 of the family's 1533-position model. The record is from RNAcentral.
GAUGAACGCUGGCGGCGUGCCUAAUACAUGCAAGUCGAGCGAACGGACGAGAAGCUUGCUUUUCUGAUGUUAGCGGCGGACGGGUGAGUAACACGUGGAUAACCUACCUAUAAGAAUGGGAUAACUUCGGGAAACCGGAGCUAAUACCGGAUAAUAUUUUGAACCGCAUGGUUCAACAGUGAAAGACGGUCUUGCUGUCACUUAUAGAUGGAUCCGCGCUGCAUUAGCUAGUUGGUAAGGUAACGGCUUACCAAGGCAACGAUGCAUAGCCGACCUGAGAGGGUGAUCGGCCACACUGGAACUGAGACACGGUCCAGACUCCUACGGGAGGCAGCAGUAGGGAAUCUUCCGCAAUGGGCGAAAGCCUGACGGAGCAACGCCGCGUGAGUGAUGAAGGUCUUCGGAUCGUAAAACUCUGUUAUUAGGGAAGAACAUAUGUGUAAGUAACUGUGCACAUCUUGACGGUACCUAAUCAGAAAGCCACGGCUAACUACGUG